AAACCAACAGGGAUUGCCUCAGUAGCGGCGAGUGAAGCGGCAAGAGCUCAGAUUUGAAAUCGUGUUUCGGCACGAGUUGUAGAGUGUAGGCGGGAGUCUCUGUGGAGCGCGGUGUCCAAGUCCCUUGGAACAGGGUGCCUGAGAGGGUGAGAGCCCCGUGGGGUGCUGCGCGAAGCUUUGAGGCCCUGCUGACGAGUCGAGUUGUUUGGGAAUGCAGCUCUAAGCGGGUGGUAAAUUCCAUCUAAGGCUAAAUAUUGGCGAGAGACCGAUAGCGAACAAGUACUGUGAAGGAAAGAUGAAAAGCACUUUGAAAAGAGAGUGAAACAGCACGUGAAAUUGUUGAAAGGGAAGGGUAUUGGGCCCGACAUGGGGAGUGCGCACCGCUGUCUCUUGUAGGCGGCGCUCUGGGCGCUCUCUGGGCCAGCAUCGGUUCUUGCUGCGAGAGAAGUGGCGCCGGAAAGUGGCUCUUCGGAGUGUUAUAGCCGGUGCCGGAUGUCGCGUGCGGGGACCGAGGGCUGCGACAUCUGUCUCGGAUGCUGGCACAACGGCGCAAUACCGCCCGU
This 563-nucleotide ribosomal RNA is filed under the name Pichia deserticola. RNAcentral describes it as "eukaryotic LSU rRNA". It matches the Rfam family "Eukaryotic large subunit ribosomal RNA", at positions 62 to 652 of the family's 3401-position model. The record is from RNAcentral. Lineage: Eukaryota; Fungi; Ascomycota; Pichiomycetes; Pichiales; Pichiaceae.